AUAUUAAUAAGCGGAGGAAAAGAAACUAACAAGGAUUCCCCUAGUAACGGCGAGUGAAGCGGGAACAGCUCAAGGUGAAAACCGGCGGCCCAAGCGGGUCGCCGGGUUGUAAGCUAGAGAUGCGAGGCCAGCCAAGGCCUGGGUAUAAAUCCUUUGGAACAGGGUGUCAGAGAGGGUGAGAAUCCCGUCUAUGACUCGGAGUCCUUGGCGUACGGUCCGUAUUCAACGAGUCGAGUUGCUCGGGAUUGCAGCUCUAAAUGGGAGGUAAAUUUCUUCUAAAGCUAAAUACUUGCGAGAGACCGAUAGCGCACAAGUA
RNAcentral lists this ribosomal RNA (316 nucleotides) under uncultured eukaryote. RNAcentral's name for it is "partial large subunit ribosomal RNA". It matches the Rfam family "Eukaryotic large subunit ribosomal RNA", at positions 40 to 350 of the family's 3401-position model. The record is from RNAcentral.